UACGUAGGGGGCAAGCGUUGUCCGGAUUUAUUGGGCGUAAAGAGCGUGUAGGCGGCCUGAAAGGUCAGCUGUGAAAACUCGAGGCUCAACCUCGAGACGUCGGUUGAAACCAUCUGGCUAGAGUCCGGAAGAGGAGUGUGGAAUUCCCGGUGUAGAGGUGAAAUGCGCAGAUAUCGGGAAGAACACCCGUGGCGAAGGCGGCUCUCUGGGACGGUACUGACGCUGAGACGCGAAAGCGUGGGGAGCGAACAGG
RNAcentral lists this ribosomal RNA (253 nucleotides) under uncultured bacterium. Its description in RNAcentral is "partial 16S ribosomal RNA". It matches the Rfam family "Bacterial small subunit ribosomal RNA", at positions 524 to 776 of the family's 1533-position model. The record is from RNAcentral.